Molecule: ribosomal RNA, 496 nt
Filed under: uncultured bacterium
Lineage: Bacteria
Description: partial 16S ribosomal RNA
Rfam family: Bacterial small subunit ribosomal RNA
Source: RNAcentral
GAUGAACGCUGGCGGCGUGCCUAAUACAUGCAAGUCGAGCGAACAGACGAGGAGCUUGCUCCUCUGACGUUAGCGGCGGACAGGUGAGUAACACGUGGAUAACCUACCUAUAAGACUGGGAUAACUUCGGGAAACCGGAGCUAAUACUGGAUAAUAUAUUGAACCGCAUGGUUCAAUAGUGAAAGACGGUUUUGCUGUCACUUAUAGAUGGAUCCGCGCCGCAUUAGCUAGUUGGUAAGGUAACGGCUUACCAAGGCAACGAUGCGUAGCCGACCUGAGAGGGUGAUCGGCCACACUGGAACUGAGACACGGUCCAGACUCCUACGGGAGGCAGCAGUAGGGAAUCUUCCGCAAUGGGCGAAAGCCUGACGGAGCAACGCCGCGUGAGUGAUGAAGGUCUUCGGAUCGUAAAACUCUGUUAUUAGGGAAGAACAAAUGUGUAAGUAACUAUGCACGUCUGGACGGUACCUAAUCAGAAAGCCACGGCUAACUACGU